This 73-nucleotide transfer RNA is filed under the name Phaethon lepturus (White-tailed tropicbird). It matches the Rfam family "tRNA". From Rfam's summary of the family: Transfer RNA (tRNA) molecules are approximately 80 nucleotides in length. The record is from Rfam by way of RNAcentral. Lineage: Eukaryota; Metazoa; Chordata; Aves; Phaethontiformes; Phaethontidae.
UCCCAGUUAGCUCAGUUGGUAGAGCAUGAGACUCUUAAUCUCAGGGUUGUGGGUUCGUGCCCCAUGUUGGGUG